CCUACGGGGGGCAGCAGUGGGGAAUAUUGGACAAUGGGCGCAAGCCUGAUCCAGCGAUACCGCGUGUGUGAAGAAGGCCUUAGGGUUGUAAAGCACUUUCAAUGGGGAGGAAAACCUACCGGUCAAUACCCGGUAGCUUGACAUUACCUGUAGAAGAAGCACCGGCUAACUCCGUGCCAGCAGCCGCGGUAAUACGGAGGGGGCAAGCGUUAAUCGGAAUUACCGUGCGUAAAUCGUUAGGUCAGAUGUCAAAGCCCCGGGCUUAACCUGGGAACUGCAUUUGAAACUGGCGGACUAGAGUUGAGUAGAGGGGAGUGGAAUGUCAGGUGUAGCGGUGAAAUGCGUAGAUAUCUGAAGGAACACCAGUGGCGAAGGCGACUCCCUGGACUCAAACUGACGCUGAGGUACGAAAGCGUGGGUAGCAAACAGGAUUAGAUACCCUAGUAGUC
Molecule: ribosomal RNA, 449 nt
Filed under: uncultured bacterium
Lineage: Bacteria
Description: partial 16S ribosomal RNA
Rfam family: Bacterial small subunit ribosomal RNA
Source: RNAcentral